GUAGGUGGCAAGCGUUGUCCGGAAUUAUUGGGCGUAAAGCGCGCGCAGGUGGUUCUUUAAGUCUGAUGUGAAAGCCCCCCGGCUCAACCGGGGAGGGUCAUUGGAAACUGGGGGAACUUGAGUGCAGGAGAGGAAAGUGGAAUUCCACGUGUAGCGGUGAAAUGCGUAGAUAUGUGGAGGAACACCAGUGGCGAAGGCGACUUUCUGGCCUGUAACUGACACUGAGGCGCGAAAGCGUGGGGAGCAAACAGGGAUUAGAUACCCUGGUAGUCCACGCCGUAAACGAUGAGUGCUAAGUGUUGGGGGGGUUUCCCGCCCCUCAGUGCUGCAGCUAACGCACUAAGCACUCGCCUGGGGAGUACGGUCGCAAGACUG
This 375-nucleotide ribosomal RNA is filed under the name uncultured organism. RNAcentral describes it as "partial 16S ribosomal RNA". It matches the Rfam family "Bacterial small subunit ribosomal RNA", at positions 527 to 896 of the family's 1533-position model. The record is from RNAcentral.